CCUACGUGGAGCAGCAGUGGGGAAUAUUGGACAAUGGGCGAAAGCCUGAUCCAGCCAUGCCGCGUGUGUGAAGAAGGCCUUCGGGUUGUAAAGCACUUUCAGUGGGGAAGAAAGCCUUGGGGCUAAUACCCUCGAGGAAGGACAUCACCCACAGAAGAAGCACCGGCUAACUCCGUGCCAGCAGCCGCGGUAAUACGGAGGGUGCGAGCGUUAAUCGGAAUUACUGGGCGUAAAGCGCGCGUAGGCGGUCUGAUAAGCCGGUUGUGAAAGCCCCGGGCUCAACCUGGGAACGGCAUCCGGAACUGUCAGGCUAGAGUGCAGGAGAGGAAGGUAGAAUUCCCGGUGUAGCGGUGAAAUGCGUAGAGAUCGGGAGGAAUACCAGUGGCGAAGGCGGCCUUCUGGACUGACACUGACGCUGAGGUGCGAAAGCGUGGGUAGCAAACAGGAUUAGAUACCCGAGUAGUC
RNAcentral lists this ribosomal RNA (465 nucleotides) under Vreelandella stevensii. RNAcentral's name for it is "partial 16S ribosomal RNA". It matches the Rfam family "Bacterial small subunit ribosomal RNA", at positions 338 to 795 of the family's 1533-position model. Lineage: Bacteria; Pseudomonadati; Pseudomonadota; Gammaproteobacteria; Oceanospirillales; Halomonadaceae. The record is from RNAcentral.